ACUCAAAUGAAUUGACGGGGGCCCGCACAAGCGGUGGAACAUGUGGUUUAAUUCGAAGCAACGCGAAGAACCUUACCAGGACUUGACAUCUACAGAAUCUUUAGGAAACUAGAGAGUGCCUUUCGGGGAACUGUAAGACAGGUGGUGCAUGGUUGUCGUCAGCUCGUGUCGUGAGAUGUUGGGUUAAGUCCCGCAACGAGCGCAACCCUCGUGGUUAGUUACCUUGCAGAGCAUGCUCUGCAAGUUCUGUCUAGCCAGACUGCCGGUGAUAAACCGGAGGAAGGUGGGGAUGACGUCAAAUCAUCAUGCCCCUUAUGUCCUGGGCUACACACGUGUUACAAUGGGUGGAACAACGAGCAGCCAGCCGGCGACGGUGAGCAAAUCUCUUAAAUCCAUCCUCAGUUCGGAUAGUAGUCUGCAACUCGACUACUUGAAGUCGGAAUCGCUAGUAACCGCAGAUCAGCACGCUGCGGUGAAUACGUUCCCGGGCCUUGUACACACCGCCCGU
RNAcentral lists this ribosomal RNA (508 nucleotides) under uncultured bacterium. Its description in RNAcentral is "partial 16S ribosomal RNA". It matches the Rfam family "Bacterial small subunit ribosomal RNA", at positions 899 to 1397 of the family's 1533-position model. The record is from RNAcentral.